Molecule: long non-coding RNA, 126 nt
Organism: Bradysia coprophila
Lineage: Eukaryota; Metazoa; Arthropoda; Insecta; Diptera; Sciaridae
Source: RefSeq, a predicted model, not a curated record
UGGUUUUUGUGUAUUGAAAUAAACAGGACAUUCGAAAUUUUUAACGUUGCGAAUUGGCAACGGACCAUUAGAAUAUCAUAUGAGUGAGUGUUACAAAGAAAGCAAGUGAAGGAAAAAUCAUCUUGC